This 392-nucleotide ribosomal RNA is filed under the name uncultured bacterium. RNAcentral's name for it is "partial 16S ribosomal RNA". It matches the Rfam family "Bacterial small subunit ribosomal RNA", at positions 523 to 918 of the family's 1533-position model. The record is from RNAcentral.
ACACGUAGGGGCCUGACGUUGUUCGGAAUCAUUGGGCGUAAAGGGCGCGCAGGCGGCCGUCCAAGUCCGGUGUUAAAUGGUCGGGCUCAACCCGAUCAUGCGCUGGAAACUGGGCGGCUUGAGUCCCGUAGGGGAUGCCGGAAUUCCAGGUGUAGGGGUGAAAUCUGUAGAUAUCUGGAAGAACACCGAUGGCGAAGGCAGGCAUCUGGCCGGAGACUGACGCUGAGGCGCGAAGGCGCGGGGAGCGAACAGGUUUAGAUACCCUGGUAGUCCGCGCAGUAAACGAUGCGCACCAGGUGUCGGGCGGCAGCGCCCGGUACCGGAGCUAACGCGAUGAGUGCGCCGCCUGGGGAGUAUGCCCGCAAGGGUGAAACUCAAAUGAAUUGGCGGGG